GCCUAUCUCAGCUACAAUCAUGUCGACACACACAAUCCACGCCCUCAGGUCGGCUAAUUCGCAGGCUAGACAACAUAGAAGGUGCAUUGUUGCUAAGGCUAAAGUUGCAACACCCGGAAGUGCUUACCUCAUCAUGUUCAUCCUUGGACAGUUGUUUACGUGUGUACUAGCGCGUACCUUUCAUGCUGAUUCAUCUAAGGCGCGAUGGUGGUUGCAGGGACCGGGAAACAGUGGACAGUGAUGGCGAUGUUGCAGCGACCACCUCCUUGCUGAUAUGAAGGGAAUGCACAAGCAGAUGGAGUCAUAGCAGAGAGACACUGGAAGGACAGUGUCUCCUGGGAGUUGUAGUCCGACUCGUGUUGGACUGUAAGCCAAGUGUGGUGCGAUUCAUCAGGAGAAACGUUCAACGCCAACGCCGCCUCCUCUCCCUCCUCCACCAAUGAAGCCACGUCCUCCUCCGCUUCCCCGGCACCGUUCACCUCCCGCCCCGUCUCCUCCACAGGACUGCGCACUUCCUCCCCGUCCAGAGGUGUCCCCAUGUCUCCACCUGCCGUCACUUCGAUCCCAUUUAUCUGUGCCGCUUGAUUUUCAGCGCCAUCUGCGCCAAGAUGGAUGCUGGCGACGGAGUUGUGCUUCCACAGUGAUUCAUGGGAGCGUGUGUCGUCUGAUGCUACUUGGAGGAAGAAAACAUAAAAGCUGGUAAAUGUGGUCACAAGUAAAAUUUGUGGAGAGCUACCAGUCUGGGUGUUGUGCUAGCUGAUACAAGUUGUGACUCGGGGUGAACCAGCUUGUGAAGAAGAUCCCCCUAUACCAGGGGUCGGAAACCGUUUUGGCUGAGAGAGCCAUGAAAGCCAAAUUUUUUCAAAUGUAUUGUCGUGAGAGCCUUAUUAUAUUUUUUAACACUGAAUACAACUAGAUGUGUGCAUUUUUUGGAGUAAAACCAACAUUUUUAGAGUAUAAUAAGUCUCUAAUUAUUUUUAAUAACAUUGUUAUUUCUUGAACAGGAGUGGUAUAAAACGGAUGGACGGAUUAAAAUGCAUGAGAAUGUUUUAUAUUUUGAACGUUAUUUUUAACAUUGUGAUUACCAGCGGAAUUAUUCAUUAUGUAUCGUGUUAAGCAAUGUCAGCUAAGAUUUAUCUGAGAGCCAGAUGCAGUCAUCAAAAGAGCCACAUCUGGCUCCAAAGCCAUAGGUUCCCUACCCCUCCCCUACACCAUACAACCAUCUUUUUGAUUACUGAUGGACUGGACUCACAUUAUUUCUUCUUUUUCCCAUUUCGGGGUUUUGAGUCUUUCAUUGCCCAAAUGUAGUUUCAGAUAAGGGGAUGUUGUUGUGGUUUGUGAAGCCCUUUGAAGCACUUCUGAUUUAGGGCUAUAUAAAUAAAUGGUGAUUAAAUGAUUGACAACAUCAAAAUGUACCU
Nerophis ophidion (straightnose pipefish) is the source of this 1418-nucleotide long non-coding RNA. RefSeq lists it as uncharacterized. The record is from RefSeq and is a predicted model, not a curated record. The transcript is spliced from 3 exons. NCBI's taxonomy places the organism in Eukaryota, Metazoa, Chordata, Actinopteri, Syngnathiformes, Syngnathidae.